This 547-nucleotide ribosomal RNA is filed under the name uncultured bacterium. RNAcentral's name for it is "partial 16S ribosomal RNA". It matches the Rfam family "Bacterial small subunit ribosomal RNA", at positions 355 to 895 of the family's 1533-position model. The record is from RNAcentral.
UGGGGAAUUUUGGACAAUGGGCGAAAGCCUGAUCCAGCAAUGCCGCGUGUGUGAAGAAGGCCUUCGGGUUGUAAAGCACUUUUGUCCGGAAAGAAAUCCUUGGCUCUAAUACAGUCGGGGGAUGACGGUACCGGAAGAAUAAGCACCGGCUAACUACGUGCCAGCAGCCGCGGUAAUACGUAGGGUGCAAGCGUUAAUCGGAAUUACUGGGCGUAAAGCGUGCGCAGGCGGUUUGCUAAGACCGAUGUGAAAUCCCCGGGCUCAACCUGGGAACUGCAUUGGUGACUGGCAGGCUAGAGUAUGGCAGAGGGGGGUAGAAUUCCACGUGUAGCAGUGAAAUGCGUAGAGAUGUGGAGGAAUACCGAUGGCGAAGGCAGCCCCCUGGGCCAAUACUGACGCUCAUGCACGAAAGCGUGGGGAGCAAACAGGAUUAGAUACCCUGGUAGUCCACGCCCUAAACGAUGUCAACUAGCUGUUGGGGCCUUCGGGCCUUGGUAGCGCAGCUAACGCGUGAAGUUGACCGCCUGGGGAGUACGGUCGCAAGAUU